UAGGGAAUCUUCGGCAAUGGACGAAAGUCUGACCGAGCAACGCCGCGUGAGUGAAGAAGGUUUUCGGAUCGUAAAACUCUGUUGUUAGAGAAGAACAAGGACGUUAGUAACUGAACGUCCCCUGACGGUAUCUAACCAGAAAGCCACGGCUAACUACGUGCCAGCAGCCGCGGUAAUACGUAGGUGGCAAGCGUUGCCCGGAUUUAUAGGGCGUAAAGCGAGCGCAGGCGGUUUCUUAAGUCUGAUGUGAAAGCCCCCGGCUCAACCGGGGACGUUCAUUGGCAACUGAGAGACUUGAGUGCAGAAGAGGAGAGUGGAAUUCCAUGUGUAGCGGUGAAAUGCGUAGAUAUAUGGAGGAACGCCAGUGGCGAAGGCGUCUCUCUGGUCUGUAACUGACGCUGAGGCUCGAAAGCGUGGGGAGCAAACAGG
Molecule: ribosomal RNA, 429 nt
Filed under: Gemmatimonadota bacterium
Lineage: Bacteria; Pseudomonadati; Gemmatimonadota
Description: Gemmatimonadetes bacterium partial 16S ribosomal RNA
Rfam family: Bacterial small subunit ribosomal RNA
Source: RNAcentral